Molecule: ribosomal RNA, 881 nt
Filed under: uncultured bacterium
Lineage: Bacteria
Description: bacterial SSU rRNA
Rfam family: Bacterial small subunit ribosomal RNA
Source: RNAcentral
GGCUCAGGAUGAACGCUAGCGGGAGGCUUAACACAUGCAAGUCGAGGGGCAACAGGAGUAGCAAUACUUGCUGGCGACCGGCGCACGGGUGAGUAACGCGUAUGCAACCUACCCAUAACAGGGGGAUAGCUCCCGGAAACGGAAAUUAAUACCCCAUAGGAUUCUACUGCCGCAUGGCACAAGGAUUAAAACUACGGUGGUUAUGGAUGGGCAUGCGUGCCAUUAGCUAGUUGGCGGGGUAACGGCCCACCAAGGCGACGAUGGCUAGGGGGUCUAAAAGGAUGAUCCCCCACACUGGUACUGAGACACGGACCAGACUCCUACGGGAGGCAGCAGUGAGGAAUAUUGGUCAAUGGGCGAGAGCCUGAACCAGCCAUCCCGCGUGCAGGAAGACGGCCCUAUGGGUUGUAAACUGCUUUUUAUGGGAAGAAAAAGCUCUACGUGUAGGGCACUGACGGUACCAUAUGAAUAAGCAUCGGCUAACUCCGUGCCAGCAGCCGCGGUAAUACGGAGGAUGCGAGCGUUAUCCGGAUUUAUUAGGUUUAAAGGGUGUGUAGGCGGAUGAUUAAGUCAGUGGUGAAAUCUCACAGCUUGACUGUGAAACUGCCAUUGAUACUGGUUAUCUUGAGUGUAGUUGAAGUAGGCGGAAUGUGUAAUGUAGCGGUGAAAUGCUUAGAUAUUACACAGAACACCGAUUGCGAAGGCAGCUUACUAAGCUAUUACUGACGCUGAUGCACGAAAGCGUGGGGAGCGAACAGGAUUAGAUACCCUGGUAGUCCACGCUGUAAACGAUGAUUACUCGUUGUUGGCGAUAUAUUGUCAGCGACUGAGCGAAAGCAAUAAGUAAUCCACCUGGGGAGUACGGCGGCAACGCUGAAACU